Molecule: ribosomal RNA, 465 nt
Filed under: uncultured bacterium
Lineage: Bacteria
Description: partial 16S ribosomal RNA
Rfam family: Bacterial small subunit ribosomal RNA
Source: RNAcentral
CCUACGUGAGGCAGCAGUAGGGAAUCUUCCACAAUGGGCGAAAGCCUGAUGGAGCAACGCCGCGUGGGUGAAGAAGGUCUUCGGAUCGUAAAACCCUGUUGUUAGAGAAGAAAGUGCGUGAGAGUAACUGUUCACGUUUCGACGGUAUCUAACCAGAAAGCCACGGCUAACUACGUGCCAGCAGCCGCGGUAAUACGUAGGUGGCAAGCGUUAUCCGGAUUUAUUGGGCGUAAAGGGAACGCAGGCGGUCUUUUAAGUAUGAUGUGAAAGCCUUCGGCUUAACCGGAGUAGUGCAUUGGAAACUGGGAGACUUGAGUGCAGAAGAGGAGAGUGGAACUCCAUGUGUAGCGGUGAAAUGCGUAGAUAUAUGGAAGAACACCAGUGGCGAAAGCGGCUCUCUGGUCUGUAACUGACGCUGAGGUUCGAAAGCGUGGGUAGCAAACAGGAUUAGAUACCCCAGUAGUC